This 460-nucleotide ribosomal RNA is filed under the name uncultured bacterium. Its description in RNAcentral is "partial 16S ribosomal RNA". It matches the Rfam family "Bacterial small subunit ribosomal RNA", at positions 338 to 795 of the family's 1533-position model. The record is from RNAcentral.
CCUACGGGGGGCAGCAGUGAGGAAUAUUGGUCAAUGGGCGCGAGCCUGAACCAGCCAAGUCGCGUGAGGGAGGACGGUCCUACGGGUUGUAAACCUCUUUUGCCGGGGAGCAACGGGUGCCACGUGUCGCGUCACUGAGAGUACUCGGAGAAAAAGCAUCGGCUAACUCCGUGCCAGCAGCCGCGGGAAUACGUAGGGAGCGAGCGUUAUCCGGAUUCUUUGGGCGUAAAGCGCGCGUAGGCGGCUGCCUAAGCGGAACCUCUAAGCCCGGGGCUCAACCUCGGGCCGGGUUCCGAACUGGGCGGCUCGAGUGCGGUAGAGGCAGGCGGAAUUCCCGGUGUAGCGGUGGAAUGCGCAGAUAUCGGGAAGAACACCGAUGGCGAAGGCAGCCUGCUGGGCCGUCACUGACGCUGAGGCGCGAAAGCUGGGGGAGCGAACAGGAUUAGAUACCCUUGUAGUC